CAACUUGCAAGCAGACAGGAAGGAUUACACGUGGCUGAGAGCUGAGGAUGCGUGCCCAGCUCUAGGAGGAGAGGAGGCACCGCCAAACCUCAAAGGCCCACCAGGGACCUCCUGGUAGGACAUGAGCACAGGAACGACACUUCCAGAACGGUUCCAGCAGCAUGUUUGUGAGAAAGCAGAGGACCUCAGGAGCCAGCUCUUCUGCACCAGCAACACAACCAAUAAACGCGUGCUGGGCUUGGGGAAAAGGGAGGAGCCCGAGUAAUGCCAGAUGCACAGACAGAACAAAGGAGGCGGCUAUGACCUGGCCGGCAGAAUAUUCGAGAAAACUGAAAUGGAAGAUGGCUAAAAAUUCUACUUGUGAUGAAGACAGAUAAUCAGGAGGAUUGUGAAAUAAAGGUUAUAGACGGCAGCAAAGCCCUGGAGAGGCUGUUGAUUUUGGAGUGGCUGUGUAAUCCUAGUGAACUGCUAGCAAAGAGUAAUCAGUCAACGCUUUGAAGGUGUCUGGUUCAUCCCAAUACCUGGGAGCUGCUUUGAUAAAUAGUAUUCUUGGGACUAGGUAAAAUUUACCACUGUGGGAGUAAAUACAUGUGGGAACUUGACAGGUUAUUGUUCUUAUUUUUUAUUUAUAUUUAAACAAAAUCUUUUGUUUACAACAAAUCCCCACUUGCCCUAAGUUUAUUCUGUCCCAAACUGAAGUCACUAAAGCUCUAUGUACACUUGCAAUG
Long non-coding RNA from Zalophus californianus (California sea lion), 728 nucleotides. RefSeq lists it as uncharacterized. The transcript has 4 exons. The record is from RefSeq and is a predicted model, not a curated record. Lineage: Eukaryota; Metazoa; Chordata; Mammalia; Carnivora; Otariidae.